This 433-nucleotide ribosomal RNA is filed under the name uncultured bacterium. Its description in RNAcentral is "partial 16S ribosomal RNA". It matches the Rfam family "Bacterial small subunit ribosomal RNA", at positions 29 to 507 of the family's 1533-position model. The record is from RNAcentral.
AACGAACGCUGGCGGCAUGCCUAACACAUGCAAGUCGAACGAAACCUUCGGGUCUAGUGGCGCACGGGUGCGUAACGCGUGGGAACCUGCCCUUAGGUUCGGAAUAACUCCCCGAAAGGUGUGCUAAUACCGGAUAAUGUCUUCGGACCAAAGAUUUAUCGCCUUUGGAUGGGCCCGCGUUUGAUUAGCUAGUUGGUAGGGUAAAGGCCUACCAAGGCGACGAUCCAUAGCUGGUCUGAGAGGAUGACCAGCCACACUGGGACUGAGACACGGCCCAGACUCCUACGGGAAGCAGCAGUGGGGAAUAUUGGACAAUGGGCGAAAGCCUGAUGCAGCCAUGCCGCGUGAGUGAUGAAGGUCUUAGGGUUGUAAAGCUCUUUUACCCGGGAUGAUAAUGACAGUACCGGGAGAAGAAGCCCCGGCUAACUACGUG